AGUAAGUGAGACAUACCCUGAAAUUUCCAAAACUGUAUAGAAAAAAUCCAGAGACUGGGUCAAAACUAUUACUCAUGUAAGGAAACAACUAAGGGAAUUAACUGUUAAUUUAAUACCAUUUAUACUUAUAUGCAGGAAGUCUUAAAUAAUUCAAGCCACAUAUUUUUUUACAGCAACAGGAAAGAUGGAAGCAGCAAUGAAAAUGUAUUCCAGGGCUAUUAUACAAGAAAACCUCAAGAACUUUAGAUACCUUUGAUCCUCAGAAGAAUAGUGUGAGAUUUUGAGCAUGAAUAGGCUUAAAGAAGCGUCGAGCCAUUGCGGAACCACUGCAACCUCUGCCAUGAUUGCAAUUGCCAGGGUAUGUGAUUGCACAACUGCCAAGUCAGGAACAGCCAAAAGAAGAGGCCCAAUUGGCAAGGAAAUGUAGUCUCCAUCUCCUGCCGACAGCCACGGGAGUGAGUGAGUUUGAAAACAGACCCCCUAUCCCCAGUCAAGUCUUCAGAUGAGUGGUGUCCCAGGCAACACGUUUAUUAUAAGCUCAGGGGAAACUCAGAAUCAUCCAGCUAUGCUGCUCCCAGAUUCCUGGCCUUCAGAAACUGUGUGAGAUAAAAAAUUUUUGUUGUUUUAAAAUGUUAAUAUUCAGGUAAAUUUGUUAUGCAUCAACAGAGUAAUAAUGAUAUGAAGGCAGAGCUGUUAUCAGAGGCUCAUGUUCUUGACAGAAAUUUCUUGAGUAAAGGGUGGAAUCACUAUUGUUUGUUUUCAGGUUUUAACAACACACUUGAAUGAUAUAAAGAAAGUUAAAAUUAUUAGUUAAAAUAGUUCAAUUAUUAGCUCAAAGUUGAAAUUAUCAUUUUUAAUGGGCCAUUACUCAGUCACAGGGAUGGAAAGCACUGAUGGCACUCUGCAUUUACCAAACCACUUUGGCCACAGUUAGCAUUUCUGGCUAUUUACUGAGGCUCCACCUAAUCAGGGCAGAUCUUAUAUCCACCUCUCCUGUUGGGGUGAAUAAAAACUUCUUACAAUCCCUGCAGUUGAUAACAACUUUGCAAACAACAUUCACAGGUGUAUUGGAUUCUUUAUAUUGUGACAACAGAACCUCAGACUGAGUACUUAAAAGAGAUUCUAUUUUUCAGACAAAAAACUAUUUACCUAGCAAUCUUUUCAAGUAGAUCAGUGUUGUAAUCAUGGCUUGCCACAUGAGGAAGCAUGCUAAACAGUCCCUCCUUGUUCAUUAAAAAUAUCAGGCUUAGACAAGCAUAAAAAUGAAGGUAACCAUGAAUCCAUGCCAAAGUCCAAGAGGCAAUAUGUCAUCACUGGUGAACAGGUGGAGAAAACCUCCUACGAGUUGAUUUUCAUGAGAUUUCACAAACUUCAAGCCACAGCCAAAGCUGGCCGUGACUUCCUAGACGGAGAAAAGAGAGCGAAUACCAGCACAAGGUUGUCAAGGGAAGGGGACAAUUCUGAUGACAGCCUGGCAUCCACAUUCAAAUAGUUUCCCAGGUAUCUCCCAUUUGUAUUCCCUUUGGGAUCCAUAACAGAGGGGACCUGAAUAAAACAUGAAACAAUGUUGUGUCACUAAAAACUGUCAGAUAUUGGGAGCACUGCCUGGAAUUCAUUUAGCAGAGUGGAGUACUAACAAAAAUUAACCUGUGAAUUGUGACAUGUUGGGGAUGCCUCCAGGAGGGGUGCAGUGGCACUUAUACCAGAGAAGAGGAUACACUAGCACAACAAAAUGUGAUGGAGAUACCCUUUGGAGUAUUUCAGUGUCCAGAGAGCAGUGUAAUCCCCCAGAAAUGGCUUGUUUUGUAAGCAAAUGUAAAGCAACCUCUGGAUACUCCCAGGAAUAUUUUGGAGGUGGAGCCUUUCCAAAGUAGAGACAAGGGCCAAUGGAAUCUGAGUAAUUAAAAUUGCCAUGACCAUAGAAGUGUUUCCAUGCCCAUGAGGCCUGGGAAGAAUCAGGUUUCAUGUAUAUGCAUAUUUUAAACAGAAAGCCGAGAAAGGAAGAAAGAAGAAAGGCAGUUUCUAAGAAUUAGGAUAGAUAGAUUACGUCCUUGCAACAGGUAUAAGGACUUCUAAGGGAGAUAUACUGCAACUACAAAGACACAAGGCUUAGUAACUUCAUAUUAUAAUCUAAUAUAUAAAGAGCAUACAGUAUACCAUCUUAGUAUACAGAGAUCCUGCAUUAUAUUUGAUUUCUAUUGGUGUUUUAACAAAUUACAACAAACUUAGCUGCUUAAAACAACAAAAAAUCAUUAAAUUACAGUUCUGGAGAUCAGAAGUCCAAAAUCAGUGUCAGUGGGUGAAAAUCAAGGUGUUGGCAGGCCUGCAUGCCUUAUGUAGACCCUAGGGGAGAGUCCGAUCUCUUGCCUUCUGUAGCUUCUGGACCCUGACUAUGUUCCCUGGCUCACAGACCCUCCUCAAUCUUAAAAACCAGCUGGGUAGCAUCUUCUCUUUUCUUUGACCUCUACUUCUGUGUUUACAUUGUCUCUCUCCAAUUUUGAUCCUCCUGUCUCCCUCUUAUAAGGAUGCUUGUGAUUAUAAUACAUUGGCUGACCCAGAUAAUUCUGAAUAAUCUUCCUAUCUCAAGAUCAUUAAUUAUAUCUGCAAAUUCUCUUUUACCAUGUAAGACAACAUAUUCACACAUUCUGAGGAUUAGGACUUAAACACUGUUGGAAUGGGGAGUGUAUUAGUCUGUUUUCACGUUGCUGAUAAAGACAUAACCAAGACUGCACAAUUUACAGAAGA
This is a non-coding RNA of Macaca mulatta (Rhesus monkey), 2745 nucleotides long. The record is from RefSeq and is a predicted model, not a curated record. NCBI's taxonomy places the organism in Eukaryota, Metazoa, Chordata, Mammalia, Primates, Cercopithecidae.